This 301-nucleotide ribosomal RNA is filed under the name uncultured bacterium. Its description in RNAcentral is "partial 16S ribosomal RNA". It matches the Rfam family "Bacterial small subunit ribosomal RNA", at positions 509 to 809 of the family's 1533-position model. The record is from RNAcentral.
CAGUCGCCCGGUAAUACGUAGGUCCCGAGCGUUGUCCGGAUUUAUUGGGCGUAAAGCGAGCGCAGGCGGUUAGAUAAGUCUGAAGUUAAAGGCUGUGGCUUAACCAUAGUACGCUUUGGGAACUGUUUAACUUGAGUGCAAGAGGGGAGAGUGGAAUUCCAUGUGUAGCGGUGAAAUGCGUAGAUAUAUGGAGGAACACCGGUGGCGAAAGCGGCUCUCUGGCUUGUAACUGACGCUGAGGCUCGAAAGCGUGGGGAGCAAACAGGAUUAGAGACCCCAGUAGUCCCUGUCUCUUAUACAC